CUGGAAUGUGAGGCACGCCGGGCGAUAGAGACGGCGAGGACAAUAAACACCGCGCUAAAAUAAUUGACCCUGGUGAGAUAGAUGGAACAGAGGAUGCCAAGAAGGAUGGAAGGAGAAAAAAAAAAUGCAAUUUUCCGUCUCGCCACUUUCCCGGAGAAGACAGUAAUUCGGGCCAGGAGGUCGCUAUUUAAUUACCCCUGACGAAGUAUCCUUGCAAAACGCAUUGGAAGCCCUGAUGAAGCAUUCGUGCGAAACACGCUGGGGGCCCUGAUGAAGGUUCCGUGAAAAACACAUCGUGAGUCAAGAUGAAGCAUCCCUGUUAAAUACAUCGGAUUGGUGGAAUACUGAAGUGCCACUGUUACACAAUAUGCACCCGAAUAUAAAAAUUGUGUAUAUGAUGCAUAGUUUAAAUUUUUUAUUUUAAUGCAUUUUUACUAUUCUUGUGUACUUUUGUUAUAUGGACCAUUACAUUACA
Hyla sarda is the source of this 475-nucleotide long non-coding RNA. RefSeq lists it as uncharacterized. The transcript has 3 exons. The record is from RefSeq and is a predicted model, not a curated record. Lineage: Eukaryota; Metazoa; Chordata; Amphibia; Anura; Hylidae.